AACCAGCACCUCGAGUGGUCAGGAGGUUUAUUGGGCCUAAAGCAUCCGUAGCCGGUUGCAUUAAGUUUUACGGUUAAAUCUAUGCGCUCAACGUAUAGGCCGACCGAAAAUACUGUGCAGCUAGGGAGUGGGAGAGGUACACGGUACUCAAUAGGAAGGGGUAAAAUCCUUUGAUCUAUUGAUGACCACCUGUGGCGAAGGCGGUGUACCAGAACACGUUCGACGGUGAGGGAUGAAAGCUGGGGGGAGC
Molecule: ribosomal RNA, 250 nt
Filed under: uncultured bacterium
Lineage: Bacteria
Description: partial 16S ribosomal RNA
Rfam family: Archaeal small subunit ribosomal RNA
Source: RNAcentral